Molecule: long non-coding RNA, 1910 nt
Organism: Hemicordylus capensis (graceful crag lizard)
Lineage: Eukaryota; Metazoa; Chordata; Lepidosauria; Squamata; Cordylidae
Exons: 3
Source: RefSeq, a predicted model, not a curated record
GGCCUUCCAAGCGAGAGGAGCUCUGUGCCGGAGCUCCUCUCGCUUUUUAUCCAGCGACCAGCUUCAGUGGGCCCCAUUGUGGGGGGCAUCCUGGGGGCUGUGGCUGCUGUUGUCCUGCUGGUGGCUGGGGUCAUUUUCUACAAGAAGAAGCAGCAGGGAGGCUACAAAGCAACGUCAACUGAGUGAUCCUCCUCCUUCCUCUUUGAAGUGACCCUUCAGCACCAGAGAGGUUGUUGAGGGGCAGCGGUGGAGUGCUACAGGGACGGGCAGACAUGCAGUCCCAGUACUGGAAGGAACCAGUACAUUCCAGUGGGCAUUCCCUGUCAUUCAUUCUAGUACAUGCUAGACAUGAUCCUUAACUUCUUAUAACAGAAUCCCCGCCCCCAAUUAUUGCAUUUUUCUAUGUAAGGGGUGUGGCCACUGGGAUGGGCGUGGCCAUGCGGCAUGACUGUCAGGAUGGGUGUGGCUAUGGGAGCUGCCAGAUAGCCGGUCUGCUCCUCCCAUAUGUGGAAUAUAUGUUUUCCUCAUCUAAUCCCUAUAAACAGCAGCUUCAAAAGGAGUGUGUGGAGUAGGGUCAGCACCAAGCAGACAUAAUGGACAAAUAUUGCUGGCUCCACAGCUGUGGAAUGAUCUCCCCAAAGAGAUCUGACAGGAUCCCUCUCUUUCCACUUUGAGGAGGACUUGGCCCCCUUUUAAAUCCAGACUAGAGGUUGGGAUGUAAUUGUGAAUAUGACGGAUAUUUAUACUGUAUACUGCUUUUCAACAAAAGUUCCCAAAGCGGUGAACAUAAAUAUAAAUAGAAAAAUAAAAAAUCACCCAGAAUUUUAAAAAGAAACAUAAGAUAGACACCAGAAACAUCCACUAGAGGGAUGCUGUGCUGGGGAAGGAUAGGGCCAGUUGCUCUCCCAUUGCUAAAAAAAAGAAUCACCACUUUUAAAAGGUGCUUCCUUGCUCAGUUAGUGGAGGACUGCUAACUGAUCCCACCCACCCCACACACACUAUUUGUAACUGCCAUAUUCAGGCUGUUAAGUUUUGUUUUUGCUAAAAUGUUCUGAUUUUUUUGGUUGUACUUUAUGAUUCCUAAUGUGUGUUUGCAUUUCAUAGAAAAGCAAGGUAGAAAAUAAAGAAAUGAAUGGAAUCCAAAGGAACUGAUCUCCUCAUUUCUCUUUCUAAAAGUGACAAACGUCAGUGGAGCAAUGACUCCUGCAGAGGGGACAGUCACCCAGGCUAAAUGGACAGAGGAGCCUCUUCAAGUGGGGGCUCUCAAAGUAUUUUUAUACUUGAUGGCCGUUGAGAAGGAGACUUCUCAAAAAUGAGGGGACUGGUAAAAAGAAAGCUGAAAGGGAAAGUCAUGAAUGUGGAAUGAGGGGGAAAUGCCUUUUCUGAAAGCUGCUUUGUAAUUACUUUGUUCUCAUGGAAUGGGAAAGUGUCUUUGCAAAAAGAGUGAGACAGAACUCAGGUUUGCACUGGUCAAGAAAUGGUUAAUAGAGUUUGCAAGUGUGGAAUGGAAAAUUCCUUGCUGAGUUACUUAUCUGCCAAGGACAGACAGGGUGGGGGAAGAGGGUACGGGUGUUGCAAACUUCAUUAGCAUAGGCAUCGAAUGAUCGGCUUAUUCCAAACUGCCCUGCUUCUUAGAAUGUGAAAGAAUCUUCUCUUAAUUUGCUUAUCUCUUUUCUGUAAAACCGGAAUUCAGAGCAAAGUCCAGCCUCAAGGCAAACACAUGUGUAAAUGUAAUGAAUUAAUUGGUCCCUCGGGCUGAAUGGGGGACGCCCAGCUGUAUAACAAUGCCAAGGUAUAAAACCCCAAGGCACUGGGUAUUUGGCGCGUCUUUCCUGGUAGGCCACGAGGCACAGGAAAGAGCCACCAGCGCUGGUUUUGGUUCAAUAAAUGGUGACUAUUGCUUCCUUCAA